Molecule: ribosomal RNA, 853 nt
Filed under: uncultured archaeon
Lineage: Archaea
Description: bacterial SSU rRNA
Rfam family: Archaeal small subunit ribosomal RNA
Source: RNAcentral
GACCCGACUGCUAUUUGGGUGAGGAUAAGCCAUGCGAGUUGAAUGGGAUACCCAAAGUUCCCAUGGCAAACUGCUCAGUAACACAUGAUCAACUUACCCUAUAGAGGAAAAUACCCUCGGGAAACUGAGGAUAAUAUUCCAUAGUUGAAUCGGCUUGGAAAAGUUUUUCAAUAAAAGGGAUAAGGAAAAUGGUUCUUAUCUGCUAUAGGAUAGGAUCGUGCUCGAUUAUGGUUGUUGGUGAGGUAAAGGCUCACCAAGCCGAUAAUCGAUAGGGGCCGUGAGAGCGGGAGCCCCGAGAUGGGUACUGAGACAACGACCCAGGCCUUACGAGGCGCAGCAGGCGCGAAACCUCCGCAAUACACGAAAGUGUGACGGGGUUACCCAAAGUGUUCUAUUUAGAACUGUGGUAGGUGAGUAUGUCCCCUACUAGAAAGGAGAGGGCAAGGCUGGUGCCAGCCGCCGCGGUAAAACCAGCUCUUCAAGUGGUCGGGAUAAUUAUUGGGCUUAAAGUGUCCGUAGCCGGUUUAGUAAGUUCCUGGUAAAAUCGGGUAGCUUAACUAUCUAUAUGCUAGGAAUACUACUAUACUAGAGGGCGGGAGAGGUCUGAGGUACUACAGGGGUAGGGGUGAAAUCUUAUAAUCCUUGUAGGACCACCAGUGGCGAAGGCGUCAGACUGGAACGCGCCUGACGGUGAGGGACGAAAGCCAGGGGAGCGAACCGGAUUAGAUACCCGGGUAGUCCUGGCCGUAAACGAUGCAUACUAGGUGAUGGCAUGGCCAUGAGCCAUGUCAGUGCCGUAGGGAAACCGUUAAGUGUGCCGCCUGGGAAGUACGGUCGCAAGGCUAAAACUUAA